AACGAACGCUGGCGGCAGGCUUAACACAUGCAAGUCGAGCGCCCCGCAAGGGGAGCGGCAGACGGGUGAGUAACGCGUGGGAAUGUACCCUUUGCUACGGAACAGCUCCGGGAAACUGGAAUUAAUACCGUAUGUGCCCUUCGGGGAAGAGAUUUAUCGGCAAAGGAUCAGCCCGCGUUGGAUUAGCUAGUUGGUGGGGU
RNAcentral lists this ribosomal RNA (200 nucleotides) under uncultured bacterium. RNAcentral's name for it is "partial 16S ribosomal RNA". It matches the Rfam family "Bacterial small subunit ribosomal RNA", at positions 29 to 258 of the family's 1533-position model. The record is from RNAcentral.